CUGAAACUUAAAGGGAUUGACGGAAGGGCACCACCAGGAGUGGAGCCUGCGGCUUAACUUUGACUCAACACGGGGAAACUUACCCGGGCCGGACACUGUAAGGAUUGACAGAUUGAUAGCUCUUUCUUGAUUCGGUGGAUGGUGGUGCAUGGCCGUUCUUAGUUGGUGGAGUGAUUUGUCUGGUUAAUUCCGAUAACGAACGAGACUCUAGCCUACUAAAUAGACCGCUGAUUGUAUCUCCUUUGUGUUGAAGCCUCGGUGGACGCAUACUUGGGGAAUUUAAACGUCAGUCGGUAUACUUCUUAGAGGGACAGGCGGAAUACAAGCCGCACGAGAUUGAGCAAUAACAGGUCUGUGAUGCCCUUAGAUGUCCGGGGCCGCACGCGCGCUACACUGAAGAGAUCAGCGUGUUUAUUGACCACUUGUUGGUAUCCUGGGCCGAAGGGUUUGGGCAAUCCGUUGAAACUUCUUCGUGAUUGGGAUUGAGCUUUGUAAUUAUCGCUCAUGAACGAGGAAUUCCCAGUAAGCGCGAGUCAUCAGCUCGCGUUGAUUACGUCCCUGCCCUUUGUACACACCGCCCGUCGCUACUACCGAUUGGAUGAUCUAGUGAGGCCUUUGGACCGGUUGAUUGCGCUUGUUUCGGCAAGCUGCUUCUAACUGGAAAGAAGUC
This 670-nucleotide ribosomal RNA is filed under the name uncultured eukaryote. RNAcentral's name for it is "bacterial SSU rRNA". It matches the Rfam family "Eukaryotic small subunit ribosomal RNA", at positions 1137 to 1759 of the family's 1831-position model. The record is from RNAcentral.